Non-coding RNA from Aneurinibacillus migulanus, 208 nucleotides. The record is from Rfam. NCBI's taxonomy places the organism in Bacteria, Bacillati, Bacillota, Bacilli, Caryophanales, Paenibacillaceae.
UACUAUUGAACGAAAGGGAUGAUGGGUGGACAAUGGAUAACUAACCUAAUUUUUAACAUUUGAAAUAGUAUAUUUCAGAUAAUAAAACUUAGGAUUAGUCUGCCCAUUUUUCCAUAUACUAAAUAGCUGCGAUACUAAAUAGCUUAUUUGCGUACGGCAAAAAUGCGAUUUGACUAAUCCUUCCAAAAUUAUUUGGGAGGAUUUUUUA